Molecule: long non-coding RNA, 1035 nt
Filed under: Elaeis guineensis (African oil palm)
Lineage: Eukaryota; Viridiplantae; Streptophyta; Magnoliopsida; Arecales; Arecaceae
Description: long non-coding RNA (EGUI_LNC020919)
Source: RNAcentral
CAUGUGAAGCUGAACUACCAAAGCACUGAACAACUCCACCCAAGACUUCCCCCCAAAGACAUGCUACAAUCCAAGCCAUCAAAGCAAUCAUCCAGAACUUAAGAUACUGCAGCCAAAAAGAAAUGACUUCAUCUUAGAAUCAAUUCUAUGCCUGUGAAAGCCAUAGGUUUUAAGGACCCAAAACAUUCACAAGGAAAUUGGGGGAAACGAGUCCUUUACCACACGCAGGCCAGUUCAAGAAUUAAUCUAAAGUUUGCAAAACACACACGACACAUCAUGCUCCUCUCGACAACCACACCAAGUAACAAAAAAACUUACAUAAAAAAGCUAAAGUUAGCCCACAUGAACCAACUUGAAGGAACAAAAUAAAAGCACCAAAAAGAACUAAACUUUGCCUCUCUAAUAACCCAUCAAAACCCACCAAGAUCCACAACCCACCCCUAAAAGACCAAUCUUUCCAACACCGGAGCUCAAAAUAGAAACCCCAAAACACUAAAAAAUUCAAAGCUUCAACUUCUAAACUAACACAACACCCAGUCCAAAUAGAUCCAAUUCACGUUCACCAAGAUCAAUAAUUCUCCACAUAUUAGCACUAUUAAACGUCAAAUAACCUUAAUUCACACCAAACCAUAUGACCAAACCAGUCCACAGACAAUAAAAAAACUCUUUUUCCCAAAAAAAUUCUUAUUUUGAUCACUUACCAGGAACUCCAUAGACAAGAGCUGGACCACGGAAGAGCUCGAUCCCAGAAACCCUAACCCUAGAAGCUCCCCGGAGAGGGGAAAUGGGGACCUGGAGCUCAAAGGAGGCGACUUUCUUGUGCCCAGAGUCGCUUCCACCCCCACCAAAAAACCUAAAUCGUUGGUAAAAGAUUCAAAGCCAAGCCCACGACCACCAGUCGAUAUUUUUUAUAAUAUAAAAUAAAAUCCAAGAACCCACAAAAAGGAAUUUUUUAAUGCUUUUAAAUCUAUCAGAAUAAAAGGACCCUGGAUUUUGCGAAUAUUAUAAUCUCCAUUGUGAUUAUGAUGACUUCCA